This 428-nucleotide ribosomal RNA is filed under the name uncultured archaeon. RNAcentral describes it as "bacterial SSU rRNA". It matches the Rfam family "Archaeal small subunit ribosomal RNA", at positions 474 to 903 of the family's 1478-position model. The record is from RNAcentral.
UACCAGCUCUCCGAGUGGUGUGGAUGUUUAUUGGGCCUAAAGCAUCCGUAGCUGGCUGGGCAAGUCCCCUGUUAAAUCCACCGAUUUAAUCGUUGGUGUGCGGGGGAUACUGUUCGGCUAGGGGACGGGAGAGGCCGACGGUAUUUUCGGGGUAGGGGUGAAAUCCUAUAAUCCCGGGAAGACCACCAGUGGCGAAGGCUGUCGGCUAGAACGCGCCCGACGGUGAGGGAUGAAAGCUGGGGGAGCGAACCGGAUAGAUACCCGGGUAGUCCCAGCUGUAAACGAUGCAGGCUAGGUGUUUGGGCGGCCACGUGCCGCUCUAGUACCGCAGAGAAGUCGUUAAGCCUGCCGCCUGGGGAGUACGGCCGCAAGGCUGAAACUUAAAGGAAUUGGCGGGGGAGCACCACAAGGGGUGAAGCUUGCGGUUU